CCUACGGGAGGCAGCAGUGGGGAAUUUUGGACAAUGGGCGAAAGCCUGAUCCAGCAAUGCCGCGUGAGUGAAGAAGGCCUUCGGGUUGUAAAGCUCUUUUGUCAGGGAAGAAACGGUGAAGGCUAAUAUCCUUUGCUAAUGACGGUACCUGAAGAAUAAGCACCGGCUAACUACGUGCCAGCAGCCGCGGUAAUACGUAGGGUGCAAGCGUUAAUCGGAAUUACUGGGCGUAAAGCGUGCGCAGGCGGUUUUGUAAGUCUGAUGUGAAAUCCCCGGGCUCAACCUGGGAAUUGCAUUGGAGACUGCAAGGCUAGAAUCUGGCAGAGGGGGGGUAGAAUUCCACGUGUAGCAGUGAAAUGCGUAGAUAUGUGGAGGAACGCCGAUGGCGAAGGCAGCCCCCUGGGUCAAGAUUGACGCUCAUGCACGAAAGCGUGGGGAGCAAACAGGAUUAGAUACCCUGGUAGUCCACGCCCUAAACGAUGUCUACGUCUUAGUUCGGUUCGGUUACUUAGUUACGUUAGUUACGGUACGACGACGUACCGUACGGUCGUAGUAAGUAACGCCCGUCGGGUAGGGGACGGUACCGGUCGACGAAGUAAACUUAAACCGUAAGAAACGGUUAAGUUACGGACCGUCGUAGGACGUACGUUACGACCGGACGGACCGACGACGGGAGGGAGGUUAGGG
RNAcentral lists this ribosomal RNA (687 nucleotides) under uncultured bacterium. Its description in RNAcentral is "bacterial SSU rRNA". The stretch from base 1 to 564 matches the Rfam family "Bacterial small subunit ribosomal RNA", at positions 338 to 873 of the family's 1533-position model. The record is from RNAcentral.